UGUCUCAUGGUGUAAUGGUAGCACAACAGGUUUUGGUUCUGUUUGUUCAGGUUCGAAUCCUGAUGAGACAA
This 71-nucleotide transfer RNA is filed under the name Tannerella sp. Its description in RNAcentral is "tRNA-Gln". It matches the Rfam family "tRNA". Rfam says of the family: Transfer RNA (tRNA) molecules are approximately 80 nucleotides in length. Their secondary structure includes four short double-helical elements and three loops (D, anti-codon, and T loops). Lineage: Bacteria; Pseudomonadati; Bacteroidota; Bacteroidia; Bacteroidales; Tannerellaceae. The record is from RNAcentral.